Molecule: ribosomal RNA, 468 nt
Filed under: uncultured bacterium
Lineage: Bacteria
Description: partial 16S ribosomal RNA
Rfam family: Bacterial small subunit ribosomal RNA
Source: RNAcentral
GACGAACGCUGGCGGCGUGCUUAACACAUGCAAGUCGAACGGAAAGGCCGUGCUUGUGUGGGGUGCUCGAGGGGCGAACGGGGGAGUAACACGUGAGUAACCGGCCCUUGACUUUGGGAUAACUUCAGGAAACUGGGGCUAAUACCGGAUAGGAGCUGCUGUUGCAGGGUGGGGGUUGGAAAGUUUCGGCGGGUGGGGCUGGACGCGCGGCUGAUGAGCUUGUUGGUUGGGGAGGGGCUUACCAAGGCUUUGACGGGUAGCCGGCCGGGGAGGGUGACCGGCGACCUUGGGACUGCGAUACGGCCCAGACUCCUACGGGAGGCAGCAGUCGGGAAUAUUGCCCAAUGGGAGGACGCCUGAUGCGGCAGCGCCGCGUGCGGGAUGCCGGCCUUCGGGUUGUAAACCGCUUCCGCCUGUGACGACGCGUGAGUGACGGUACUGGGUAAAGAAGCACCGGCUAACUACGUG